RNAcentral lists this ribosomal RNA (264 nucleotides) under uncultured bacterium. RNAcentral describes it as "partial 16S ribosomal RNA". It matches the Rfam family "Bacterial small subunit ribosomal RNA", at positions 92 to 354 of the family's 1533-position model. The record is from RNAcentral.
CGACCGGCGCACGGGUGAGUAACGCGUAUGCAACUUACCUAUCAGGAGGGGGAUAACCCGGCGAAAGUCGGACUAAUACCGCAUGAAGCAGGGGCCCCGCAUGGGGAUAUUUGCUAAAGAUUCAUCGCUGAUAGAUAGGCAUGCGUUCCAUUAGGCAGUUGGCGGGGUAACGGCCCACCAAACCGACGAUGGAUAGGGGUUCUGAGAGGAAGGUCCCCCACAUUGGUACUGAGACACGGACCAAACUCCUACGGGAGGCAGCAG